This 77-nucleotide transfer RNA is filed under the name Pseudoxanthomonas sp. NC8. RNAcentral's name for it is "tRNA-Pro". It matches the Rfam family "tRNA". From Rfam's summary of the family: Transfer RNA (tRNA) molecules are approximately 80 nucleotides in length. Their secondary structure includes four short double-helical elements and three loops (D, anti-codon, and T loops). Further hydrogen bonds mediate the characteristic L-shaped molecular structure. tRNAs have two regions of fundamental functional importance: the anti-codon, which is responsible for specific mRNA codon recognition, and the 3' end, to which the tRNAs corresponding amino acid is attached (by aminoacyl-tRNA synthetases). tRNAs cope with the degeneracy of the genetic code in two manners: having more than one tRNA (with a specific anti-codon) for a particular amino acid; and 'wobble' base-pairing, i.e. permitting non-standard base-pairing at the 3rd anti-codon position. The record is from RNAcentral. Lineage: Bacteria; Pseudomonadati; Pseudomonadota; Gammaproteobacteria; Lysobacterales; Lysobacteraceae.
CGGGGUAUAGCGCAGUAUGGUAGCGCACCAGUCUGGGGGACUGGUGGUCGUCGGUUCGAAUCCGGCUACCCCGACCA